GAGGAGCUGCCUAGUAGGCUUCAUUAUUCGGUAAGUGACAGAAUUCCACCGAUAAUAGGGCUGGUUGAAGAGGGUUUUGAGGUGGAACAGAAGAGAUCAAAACAUCAAGAAUGUGGAGGAGCACAUGGCUAUGACAAUGCAUUUUUCUCCAUGAGGACGAUCUUCAUUGGUCACGGUCCGCAGUUUGCAAGGGGACGAAAGGUGCCAUCUUUUGAGAA
RNAcentral lists this unclassified non-coding RNA (218 nucleotides) under Hevea brasiliensis (rubber tree). Lineage: Eukaryota; Viridiplantae; Streptophyta; Magnoliopsida; Malpighiales; Euphorbiaceae. The record is from RNAcentral.